Molecule: ribosomal RNA, 253 nt
Filed under: uncultured bacterium
Lineage: Bacteria
Description: partial 16S ribosomal RNA
Rfam family: Bacterial small subunit ribosomal RNA
Source: RNAcentral
UACGUAGGUGGCAAGCGUUGUCCGGAUUUAUUGGGUUUAAAGGGUGCGUAGGCGGCUUUGUAAGUCAGUGGUGAAAUAUGGCAGCUCAACUGUCAGGGUGCCAUUGAUACUGCGGAGCUUGAGUACAGAUGAGGUAGGCGGAAUUGACGGUGUAGCGGUGAAAUGCUUAGAUAUCGUCAAGAACACCGAUAGCGAAGGCAGCUUACUGGGCUGUAACUGACGCUGAGGCACGAAAGCGUGGGGAUCGAACAGG